GCUACAACCGCUCAGCACAGGUGUUAAGUGCUUUCUUAAGCCCCCUGUGACUGGCGAGUCUUAGUUUAUU
RNAcentral lists this small RNA (70 nucleotides) under Bacillus sonorensis. The record is from RNAcentral. Lineage: Bacteria; Bacillati; Bacillota; Bacilli; Caryophanales; Bacillaceae.